UCGGCAGAGAAGGCAGACCAAGGAGUUC
Molecule: non-coding RNA, 28 nt
Filed under: Homo sapiens (human)
Lineage: Eukaryota; Metazoa; Chordata; Mammalia; Primates; Hominidae
Source: RNAcentral